Molecule: long non-coding RNA, 826 nt
Filed under: Phasianus colchicus (ring-necked pheasant)
Lineage: Eukaryota; Metazoa; Chordata; Aves; Galliformes; Phasianidae
Description: lncRNA (ENSPCLG00000010852.1)
Source: RNAcentral
CGGCGUGGCGUUGGCGCGCGGGAGCGCGCUGCCAAGCGUGGAGGAUCGGCGAGGCGCGAAACAGAACGCCUCAUCUCCGCACGUCGUGACUGCGAGGGCUGUGCUCUGCCCUAAUGCCUGCUUGCCUUUUCGUUGCCAGCAGGCUUUGUUUAAAAUCAAAACGCACAAGUGCUCCAGAGCUCCCCAAGCCUGACUUCCCGGUUCAUUAGAGCUAAGCUCAGUUGCCUAAUUGAUCCCAGCUACUUGAGUGAUACCUUUCUUCUCCGCGCGUUCAGCUUUCGACUGCUCGUGAUCCCUGCUGAGGGAAAGCUGACUGAAGUGACGUAGUGCCGUCUGAUCUCUUGUUGUCUGUCAUCCUGGGGAAAAAACUACCAGGAGGCGUCCGAGUGAUUACCUGGCGAAGCUUAAAUACCAAUGGUUUCCAAACUGUGUGUGCAAAUAAUAGCAUCUGAAGCCAUUCUUACCCUCCUUAAAAUAAGAUGGCACAGAGGCAAAAGGUGCUGGAAUAAACCAGGUCAAGUCAGCAGAGCAGUCAGACAAUUGUAAAGUUGUGGUUUCAUUACGGGACGAGUAAGGACAUGAUGCUGAUAGUGACUCAGGAAUUAUUUUGCAACCCAUGCUGCACUGCAGAUGCUGAUUAGAAAUAACCCUCAAAAACUUUAAACUGUAAUUAGAUGUGAAAUAAUCAUAUAAACCUCGAGACGUCUAUGAAAUAGUGUGUAAGUGGUAUUAAUGUGGUGAUUGUGUAGUAAAUUGCAAUUGAGAACUACGGACAGGAGUUGCUGAAGUGCUUUUAAGUUGCAUAAUAAACAUAUGAAAUUAAGCA